CAUAUGAGGCACUCCAUGUUCUACAUUCCCAAGUUUUUAAUCUUCUCAUCAAAGUAGGUGAGACUGCACAGAUCCAGUCGAUCUGUAGGAUCAUCCAGAGCCUCAAAGCAGGACCUUACCCAGUCCAUUCUCUGCACACCUCUGUGACAGGUGUGAAAGGCACUUGUUCUCCUGGGAUCCUGCAGCAUACAGGUGGGAUGACACACCCUGUUAAGAUUUCUCCACCUGCUAAUGCACAAAUCAGAGAAGACUGAGUCCAGGCCUUCAGCAAAUGGACUCAGGACUGCAGAUCUCCUCUGAAUCCACCA
Molecule: long non-coding RNA, 308 nt
Filed under: Chinchilla lanigera (long-tailed chinchilla)
Lineage: Eukaryota; Metazoa; Chordata; Mammalia; Rodentia; Chinchillidae
Description: lncRNA (ENSCLAG00000024482.1)
Source: RNAcentral